Oreochromis aureus is the source of this 478-nucleotide long non-coding RNA. NCBI's taxonomy places the organism in Eukaryota, Metazoa, Chordata, Actinopteri, Cichliformes, Cichlidae. The record is from Ensembl.
UGUGUAUAUAUGUAUAUGUGUAUAUAUAUAUAUAUAUAUAUAUAUAUAUAUAUAUGUAUAUGUGUGUGUGUGUGUGUGUUUUUUUUUUGUUUUGUUUUGUUUUUGUUUUUGUUUUUUUGCUAGAAAAAUCUAUCAAUGACAAUGAAGAAAUAUUAACUUCUGUGACUUCUGAUUUGCCUCACUUCUCCGAGACUGCAGCUCAAGAUGACCAGGGAAUGAUGCCUGUGUGACUUCUGGUUCACCUCCUGUCCCUGACUCAGUUACUAAAGGUUUACGUGUUUCAUCAAGGCGGUGUGUGAAGAGACCAUGGUCUGAGGAGGAGAUAGGAGCGGUGAUGAAACAUAUGAAGCCUUUUAUUGAAAACGGUAUCACUGUCACCAACCAGCAGUGUCUGAAGUGCAAAGAAAAGGAACAACCUAUCUUGGAGACGAGAUCUAUUCAAAACAUUCGAGAUUUUGUGCGCAACAGAGGACUGGCC